GCUCCAAAUGAGUAACCAGCUGCAGGUUAAUUACUGCAUAACACUUUUCUAAUAUUAGAGCCUUCUUUGGACACCUUAGUUGUAAUUUAUGCACUGGAACUAAAGGGAACCUUCAUCUAAGACAGAUAGUAGUGCAGACACUUCAUCACUCC
Molecule: long non-coding RNA, 152 nt
Organism: Pipra filicauda (Wire-tailed manakin)
Lineage: Eukaryota; Metazoa; Chordata; Aves; Passeriformes; Pipridae
Exons: 3
Source: RefSeq, a predicted model, not a curated record